RNAcentral lists this ribosomal RNA (499 nucleotides) under uncultured bacterium. RNAcentral's name for it is "bacterial SSU rRNA". It matches the Rfam family "Bacterial small subunit ribosomal RNA", at positions 425 to 921 of the family's 1533-position model. The record is from RNAcentral.
GUAAAGCCCUGUCGGGUGGAACGACAGGUCCUGAGGAGGGACUCUGACGGUACCAUCGGAGGAAGCACCGGCUAACUCGUGCCAGCAGCCGCGGUAAUACGAAGGGUGCAAGCGUUGCUCGGAAUUAUUGGGCGUAAAGCGUACGCAGGCGGUCUACCAAGUCGGGCGUGAAAAGUCCGGGGGCUCAACUCCGGGGAAAGUCGCACGAAACUAGCAGACUUGAGUUCGGGAGAGGGGUGUGGAAUUCCCAGUGUAGAAGUGAAAUUCGUAGAUAUUGGGAGGAACACCGGUGGCGAAGGCGACACCCUGGCCCGAAACUGACGCUCAUGUACGAAAGCGUGGGUAGCAAACAGGAUUAGAUACCCUGGUAGUCCACGCCGUAAACGAUGGGUGCCAGAUGUUGCGGGUAUUAUUCCUGCAGCGUCGUAGCUAACGCAUUAAGCACCCCGCCUGGGGAGUACGGCCGCAAGGUUAAAACUCAAAGGAAUUGACGGGGGGC